AUUUGUUUUACAGACGAGGAGAGCACUUCGCCUCCUCUUCUUCCUCAGCAACUCCGCUUGUCCCCUGGCCAGGCACUGGGGACGUGAGAGAAAGGGGACCCACACCGGCAGUGCCUUCGCUUUUGUGGAGGUCACGGCCCCCGGGAAGGUUACACACAGGAGACAGCGCGGAAGGGAAACCAGGAAGUGACAAACCCCACCAGGGCAGUAAGACCAGGUGAGUGCCCAGGACCAGGGCUUCCGUGCAGGGUGGAGCCAGGCAAGGGGGCAGAAG
Molecule: long non-coding RNA, 274 nt
Filed under: Fukomys damarensis (Damara mole-rat)
Lineage: Eukaryota; Metazoa; Chordata; Mammalia; Rodentia; Bathyergidae
Description: lncRNA (ENSFDAG00000024252.1)
Source: RNAcentral